AGGGUUCUGAUCCUGUCCCCUCGUGCCUGUCCGUAGAUCAAAGGGAGAGACGACUCCACUCGCUCGGGAUACGUCGAUGUCGCGUAAAGUGUGUGCGCUUGUAAAUUAAUUGGCCACCUGUGGAUGUAGGUGCCGCGGAUGUAGGUAUCCGCCGUUUUCAUUAUCCAUCGUCCAAAUCGGAUAUUAAUCAGAUUGGUUAGCGAGCGUGAGCGAACGACAGAAAAGCGCGCACGAAAAUGGCGAACUGCGACGACGAGCCGAUCCUGACGCAAUUUUCGUGCCUUCCAGUCGCUCGAUGAAAUAAACGCUUGGGCCGAAGCGGAAGAAGGGAUCAUCGGCAAUCGCGCUAGCGCACUCGGCACAGGGUGUCGUUUCAGAAAACCGGAAGGUGAUUCGGGAGACUUGCAGCGGACGGAACCACGAGAUUCAUGAAGGAAAAUUUCGUCCAUAGGUACUGAUAUUCGGGAAAGUAGGAUAGUCGCGAGUUUCAUCGAGCAUCCCUAUAAAAGGCCAUUUCGAUUUGUCAUGGAUGUGUCGGUGGCUUCCGAAAUGCCGAUUGCACGGAGCGGGCUUCAAAACACACCUACAUUAAUGCUUCGCAAUAACAGAGAUAAGCCGCCAGUGGUACGGCGGCCAUUAAUUUUUUGAAAACGCAAGCGAAAAGUUCGGAUUCUCACCGUGGCAGCCGUCAGUCGCGCGCAAGAUGUUUCCAAAAUAGCAAAAAA
Molecule: long non-coding RNA, 725 nt
Organism: Ooceraea biroi (clonal raider ant)
Lineage: Eukaryota; Metazoa; Arthropoda; Insecta; Hymenoptera; Formicidae
Source: RefSeq, a predicted model, not a curated record